AUGCAGAUCUCUGAAGCGAAAACAGAAAGGGCUGGCAGGUUGUUGACAAGGAAAAGUUCAGGAAUGUCUCUUCUUACCCUCCAGGUCUCGGUCCAAGAAGGGUCAUGUGUCAUGUGUCUUGUUCUUGUCUUUUCUGCUUUUUGUGCCAACUUUAAAAAAAAAAAAGGCAGAAAACAAAGAAGAUAUAUAGAAGAUAUAUGGAAUUCCAGUGAAUUGUAUUUUGGUGUAAGAUCGGUGUAUGCUGUUGAAAAUUAAAUCUCUGAAGGCUUUGGCAGUUUCAAACUCUGUUGAAGUCAUUGGGAUCUGAAGAUGCUCACAACUUUAUAACCCUUUUAACAAACAACACCAUAAUAAUAAUAAUAAUUUUCAAAGGACUACCCACCAAAUACUGUAAGUAACAGUAGCAAAACCUUUUCAUUUUGUACAAACACCAGUGCUUCUGGGAGACCAUUCCAUUCUCCAAAUGUACAUAUGUUUGAGCAAAGGGUUCCCAGAAACAAGUAACAAGAAUAUUGAGACCAUUGCUCAAUAACCACGGUUUUUAUUUUGCAAUAGUUAUUGAGAUCUGCAGGGGUUUUCCUGGGCUCAAAACUUGGCUGUUUUUAGUAGCAAUAUUUUCAGUUGUGUCAUAUGAAUUGUUUCGUUUUAUUAGAGCUGAAUGCUGUUAUCUGCCAUUUUGGAAUUGCUAGCUAUAUAUCUUGGAGCAAUGUAUUUGUAUGCUGUACAAAUAGCAAAAACCUAUAGCAAAAUGCUGUGUAAUUUGAAUGUUAGCUGUACCCUCUGUGAGUCUCUCGGGUUUGUAUCACUAUCUAGGGAAUGUAUGUGAGCACCUUUGUUAUUUAGCCUGAUUGAUUGUACAUCAUGCAUCCAGAUGCAUUACUUUCAAAACUUAUUCUUGAAUGUUUAGGUAGAAAUUCUGUCUCAAGAGAUAUAUUUUUUUUUCAUAUAGAUAGUUGCCACUUAAGCCAGUUUUGUGGAAAUGACACAUGGAGAUUUUAAGAUGACCUUCAUGUGUUUUACCAAAACCUAGCCUACAUAGUGUUUUGAGACACGAGUAUGAUCAGAUGCUUUUUCUUGUACAGCUAAAGUAUAUAUGCUUUUUUCCAACAGGUUUGCAUAGCCUUCCAGAAAGAACUACUCUUCUUAAGCAGCAGGUAAGGAAAAGAAUGUGGGUAAAAGAUUUGGGGAGGAACAGGAAAGGACAUUUAAUAUAUUUAAUCUUAUUAUACAUUUUUCUACAUUAAAGUCAACAGGCUGCAAAUAUAUUCUGCUACAAAGCUUUUUGUAAGAAAUAUCUCUAUAAGAAAAUACAUCUCAUUAAACAUUUCCUGUAAAUAAAUUAUCCGAAAUAACUACGGUUUGUAAGAAG
This 1369-nucleotide long non-coding RNA is filed under the name Anser cygnoides (Swan goose). RNAcentral describes it as "lncRNA (ENSACDG00005000887.1)". Lineage: Eukaryota; Metazoa; Chordata; Aves; Anseriformes; Anatidae. The record is from RNAcentral.